UGACGAGUGGCGGACGGGUGAGUAAUGUCUGGGAAACUGCCUGAUGGAGGGGGAUAACUACUGGAAACGGUGGCUAAUACCGCAUAACGUCGCAAGACCAAAGAGGGGGACCUUCGGGCCUCUUGCCAUCAUAUGUGCCCAGAUGGGAUUAGCUAGUUGGUGAGGUAACGGCUCACCAAGGCGACUAUCCCUAGCUGGUCUGAGAGGAUGACCAGCCACACUGGAACUGAGACACGGUCCAGACUCCUACGGGAGGCAGCAGUGGGGAAUAUUGCACAAUGGGCGCAAGCCUGAUGCAGCCAUGCCGCGUGUAUAAAGAAGGCCUUCGGGUUGUAAAGUACUUUCAGCGGGGAGGAAGGUGUUGUGGUUAAUAACCGCAGCAAUUGACGUUACCCGCAAAAAAAGCACCGGCUAACUCCGUGCCAGCAGCCGCGGUAAUACGGAGGGUGCAAGCGUUAAUCGGAAUUACUGGGCGUAAAGCGCACGCAGGCGGUCUGUCAAGUCGGAUGUGAAAUCCCCGGGCUCAACCUGGGAACUGCAUUCGAUGGCAGGCUUGAGUCUUGUAGA
RNAcentral lists this ribosomal RNA (567 nucleotides) under Salmonella enterica subsp. enterica serovar Infantis. RNAcentral's name for it is "bacterial SSU rRNA". It matches the Rfam family "Bacterial small subunit ribosomal RNA", at positions 89 to 655 of the family's 1533-position model. The record is from RNAcentral. Lineage: Bacteria; Pseudomonadati; Pseudomonadota; Gammaproteobacteria; Enterobacterales; Enterobacteriaceae.